This is a long non-coding RNA of Amphibalanus amphitrite, 988 nucleotides long. RefSeq lists it as uncharacterized. Lineage: Eukaryota; Metazoa; Arthropoda; Thecostraca; Balanomorpha; Balanidae. The transcript has 3 exons. The record is from RefSeq and is a predicted model, not a curated record.
GGUUGCCGAUAUGAACUCUCCACGCUGUCACUGGCCUUUGGGACGAGUCACCGAGGUUUUCCCAGAUAGAAAGGGUUUGUGCGCUCUGUGAUAGUCCGUACCACUACAUCUACCCUGAAGAGACCGAUCUCCAAGCUGGUGCUGGUGCUGGAGAGCGAGACCACCGACACUGAGAGCGUGUGAGACCACGAGCAUGGCCGACUAUCGCACGUGAUGACGUGAUUUGAUAUCAAUUCCAGAAGAUUAGUUUGUGUUGAUUGAUAGCUGUAUUUCCAGAAGACUGAACUGGGGAUUGACUGCAAGCGGUUGGUGAUGAAGGCUCCAAUUGCGCUUAGCACGUUUGGUCUGUUGAACCUGGAAGGUUCAAGGGUGGGGGUGUAGGCGCGCCAUUUCCAUUUUGUCAUUUUAUGUUCCUUAGUCCACGUUUACCAUCCUGCUGAUUUCCUAUUUUCUUCCUUGGUUUCGCAGCCAUGGCACAUUGCUCGCUCGGUCCCUCUGACCUGUCGAGGUCACCGGCCGACCGUAGCCUGGGGCAGGGCCCAGGAAUGUAGCUGCGCCGUCGCGACCGCAGGGUCAGAAAAGUAGUAACUGGAAACUGUGAUAUUUGACUCGUUAAUGUGUAUGUUAUGCCCAAUAAUGUGCUCAGGAUUGUAAAAUGUAUUGUUUGAUGCGAGUAGGGAUCUCCUGGACAUUUAAGUUGCGAAUAUGAUAGCUGACGCGGAUGAACAUUUCUGAAUAUGGGCGGUGCCCGGCGCCCCGGCGCUGGUCGGGGGCGCGGCGCGGGUCAGUUGAGCCCCGUUGAGGCUGGUGGUAUGUGGUGGUGUCUGCGCCAGAGCCGCCAUUUACCAAGACCGUGAGGCUGGUCGUCUGAUGUGCCUCUGGAGACGUGUGCCUCUGGUUUCGUUAGCCGAUAAGCGACUCAGGGAGCACAUUUGUCGCAACGAUUGCGUGCGGAGGGCCACACGGUCCAAUACACCGAUCCGUGACG